This is a long non-coding RNA of Petromyzon marinus (sea lamprey), 2310 nucleotides long. RefSeq lists it as uncharacterized. Lineage: Eukaryota; Metazoa; Chordata; Hyperoartia; Petromyzontiformes; Petromyzontidae. The record is from RefSeq and is a predicted model, not a curated record.
CGGGUUCUCAAGCGUAGCAGAGUUUGACGGUCUCGGUGACUUUUGUUUCACAUUGCAUGCGGUUAAUUUGGCUACAUUUCAGCUGUGAGAAUGACAAAUAGCCCGUUCGACUGUCGCGUGACGAACGAUCUAAGAGCGGAGUUAAACAAAUUAUCCGGAGAUGCUGCUGCUGCUGCGCUGGCAGUGGUGCGCGCAAGCACACAUAGCAAAAAAGCAACUCUUAAUUUAGUUCUCAAAAAUGUGCUACAAAGAAGGGCCGUUGCCCAAAACGUCGCCUAUUACGCAUGUUAUUGUAAGGCCUCAGUAAUGUUGUUACAAUAGGAGAGCGUUGUGUGUGGCGAAGUCCACCACUCGGCCGUCUAAAGGGUAAAGAGGACGCAUGAAGGAUGCUUGAGAGGUGCCGGGUCACGAGGAUGACACGUGACAUGCUCUGUACAGUGCAUGCCUCGGUCUAUUUUCCGUCGUGCGAAUUAAAGCUGUUCAGGAAAAUCGCUACAUAGUAAAUUCAUUACAGCUUAUGUUAAUUACGCUUUUUUUUUCUCGCACAUAAAUUGCCCAGUACGCAGUUUAUAUGGGGCGAGGAGAUGAUAUUCUCCCUCGUCUGGUACGCAGGAGGUUCGAUCAAGGGCUCCGGCGAUGCUUGCUGUACAUUUGGAGUUCACGUGUUGUCUCUCUCUCUCUCUCUUGCCGACGUGGUCGCGUGGAUUGUUCUCCGGGCUCCUCCGGUGGUGCCCUCCACAUUUAGAUUCAACGCGCGUUGAGAUUAUUUGGCUGCUCCUCAUACGUUCCCGCGGGGGAUGAUGAUGAUGAUUCAGCCACUUUGAUGGAUGAGCUAUCACGCGUGGCCACGUCACCUCUGCACAAUAGCUCAAGUGGGCUUUAUCCGAUUCUCCUGCUGGUGACAGGGUCCUGGCUCGGGAUGUUUCCUCUGCCUUCUGGACACAGCGACCGAAACUCCUCUGCAGAAACAAGAGAUCCAUGGGCUCACUCGCACGGUGUGGAAUCGGUGCGGUUGCACCGCCUGCUGUUGCUCGUCGCGAGAACUCACCGCGACACCGCGUGCUGUCGACGGCCACGUAGCCCGCCGAGCAGCGGCACGUGUAGGAGCCGGCGACAUUCAGGCACUCGCCGCCCUGGCACCGACCGCCCUCUCCGCACUCGUCGAUGUCUGCACGAGGCCAAACGAUAGCGACAACGACGACGGCGGCGGUGAUGACCACCACCACCACCAACACCACCAACAACACCGCCGGUGCCACAGUGGCAGCAACAGGAGCCGGUCGCCGCCGACGCACCCGCAGACGGUUUAUACUCCGUCCGACGGACUCUGCACGAAUGUGAUAACUCCUGCUCGUCUCCUGCUCCUGACUCGACGGAUCGUCCACACGACGGAUCUUUUCGGAACGUGGGAGACGAAAAACUCCACUUGAAAUCUGGCACAGAGUCAACAUUCGACAUCGCCCGCCCAGCUCAACGUCCGUCAUUGCACAGCACUGGCCCUGAAGACCAGUAACAAAAAGUGGCCAAGAAAAGGCAGAGCACUCAUGACAGCACAGCAGAUGAGCGCUCCCAGGUUUUCUACAGAAACUCGAGAGCAGAGAUUGUGGGACAGAGCUCUACGGGCAAUCAACAGAGGGAACUAAUAACGAUAGCAGAUAAGACGACGCAUUUGUGGAAUUUAGCGAGGAUGGAAGACGUUGACGACUGUGGAAGGCGGUUCCAAAAUCGACCGACGCGUAGAGAGCAGGGGUAAGAGAAAUUGCCGUUGUCUGUUCCGCAAUAUCGCGGUUCACCACAGAGUGGAUGAGAGGAAACGGCCAAUCUAAAGGCACUCAAUGGACAGGCACCGGGUUACUUGUCAGAUCUUUUCUCUCCCUACCAGCCUCGGCGUGCGUUGAGGUCAGCUGACAGGCGUGACCCCUGCUCUGCAGUGGGAGGGUCGGACUCUGGAGGAACGGAGAGGCGGUGGCUCUCUCUGUGUUCGGGAGGCUGCCACCGUGGAACUCUGCCCGAUCGCGUCAGGAGCUCCGCCCCACAGUGGCGACUUUUAAAUCAAGGCUCAAGGCCUAGCCCUAUGAUUCAGCCCUCUGAAUGUAAUCAGGCAUCUCACGAGAUUACAAAAGGCGCCCUAUGAAUAAAGAUUUGAUUGUGUUGUUAUUGUGAGCGAGGAGAACGAGCCUUUGGCGAUUGACGGAGGUAUGUGGGCACAAGGUUCAUGGUAACACAUUUUAAACGAAACUAUUUUUUUUAUUUUACCAGGUAAGGCCCAACUGAGCUAUAUAGCUCUUUUUCAAAAGCCAGCUGGCCACA